This is a long non-coding RNA of Chenopodium quinoa (quinoa), 2186 nucleotides long. RefSeq lists it as uncharacterized. The transcript has 6 exons. The record is from RefSeq and is a predicted model, not a curated record. NCBI's taxonomy places the organism in Eukaryota, Viridiplantae, Streptophyta, Magnoliopsida, Caryophyllales, Amaranthaceae.
UGUAACUAUUUUACUUUUGACUUUGUUAUUUUGUGGAUUUUAUAAAGUUGUAUUUUUAACAUAAAAGCCCAAAUUCAUUUAACAGAAUACUUUCUCAACUUUUCAAAGGAAAAAGAAGGGAAAAAUCGUGUUAAGAGUCCAAUUGUAGAUCAGAUUGGAUGAUUUAAAUAAACAAGUCGAAGGUGAUAACAAGCAUGUUCGUUCAUUUUUAUAAAAAUGUUCAUAUAUUGUACUCUUAUGUUCAUUAAAAAAAACUGCUCGUAUUCAUAUUUUUACCCUUCAUGUUCAUAAUUUUACUUGGAGCUAUUACUCAGAAAUAAAUUAAAAAAAAACAGCUAGUAUUCAUAUUUUUACACUUCAUGUUCAUAAUUUUACUUGGAUCUAUUACUCAGAAAUCAAUUUAAGAAACUACUAUUAUUCAUAGUUUUACCCUUUAUGUUCAUAAUUUACAAAAUCGUUAAUUACUUCGUUUUUUUUUUUUCGUUUUUUUUUUCAAUUUUUAUAGAGAUGGUUCUGACGAAGUACUAAGCAAGAUAAAGAGAAACCUUCCGGGUAAAUAAUAUAAAACUUAAUGUUCGUUAUAAUUUUACGUAAGUUCAUAGUUUACUACCUAGUAUUCAUUUUUUCACAGAGAUAAUACUGAAGAAAAUCCUACACAAACCCUUAAAGUUAUAGAAUAACCUACUGGUAAAAUUCAUUAUUUAUGUACUACUGGGUACAUAAAAGGGGUGGUGCUUCUGGUCAAAUUUAUGAGAAAGCUGUAGAGCCUCCUACAAAGACAACUACUGGAGACGCUUUUGGUCAAAUUUCUAAUCAGAAAGCAGUAAACAAUCUAUUGAGACAACUACUGGGGAUGCUUCUGAUCAAAUUUCUAAGAAAGUUGUAGAGCCUUUUACGGAGACAACUACUGGAAGCAAUUGGGACCAUAAGAAUUGUGGUGUUUACUUGAUUAAGCACAUGGACACAUACAUAGCAGACCCUGUGCAAGAGUGGACUUGUGAUAUGAAGGCUAAUGAUUUGAUCAAAUAAGGAAGCUAAGAGUAAGAUAUUGUGCUGAAUUUAUACUUAGUGCAUCCAACAAGGAAGGGUACAGAGUGAGAAUGGCUGCUAAGAGAAAGCAAGAAGAGACAAACUAAGUUGAAUUUUGGAUUGAGAACUAAGACAACCGUGGUUUUAAUUUUAUUAAGAAACUGGGAUUCUGAACUGAUAUAAGUGUGCUUUUCAUUUUAUUUUAUUUUUAUAAGUGUGGUUGUCAUGAUUUACAUGAAUUUGGAACAAGUGUAAUUUUUUUUUUUUUUAUUAUGAACAUGUGAUUUUCAUAAUUCAGAAUUUGUUCAUCUUUCUUGUCUAUUAUGUUCAUAUGUUAUUAAAUAAAGUUCAUAAUCGUAAAAACAUACAUAUAAAAAUGUGAAUGAUUAUAAAAUGAAGUUCAAAGUAUUGUUGUAUACAUUUUUAAAUGUAAAUGAAUUUUAAAAUAAAUUAUCAAAAACAAUUAUAGAAAAAAUCUAAACAUCAAUUGUUUUGUCAAACAAUUUUAACAUAUAAUUGUAUUGUGAAACAGUCCACAUACCCUUAUCAUCAAUAACAAACUCAACAAAACCUUUACAAUCUGUACGACCACUCAAUUUCUCAAAUCUCCUAACAUCCCUCUUAGAAUGAUCUUUCAAACGAGCAUUUGUACAUAGAUAUUUCCUACUCCGCCGAACAAUAGUUUGACCAACUCUUCUUAAUUUCGACUUAUUCCUUAUACUAAAACCAAACUUAAAAGCAUAAUCAUUGUACAAAUCAUAUGCUUUAUCAUCACAUGUAACUUGUUUCAUGAAUAACUCAGACUGUUUGGCUUUAACAAAAAAAAUGACUGAAAAAUAAUAAAGAAAACGACAAAUGUUAACAAUGUUCAUAAUUAUAAAACUAUAUGUUCAUAAUAAAUGUCAGGAUGUUUAUAAUACAUAAUCAACUGCAUAUUACUAAUUGAAAUAUAAAAAAUAACAACGAAUAUUAAAAACAUUCAUUAUUAUAACAAAUAUGUUCAUAAUAAACAUGAAGAAUGUACAUAAUAUACAAAGUCUUCAAACAUUCAGCAUUAAUUGUUCACAUAAUUAAACUGUUGAAUUGAUUUAUUAAAAAAAAAAAGAAAAAAAAACCGUAAUAUCGAGUUCACAUUAUAAAUUACAAGUAAAAUUAGA